RNAcentral lists this long non-coding RNA (239 nucleotides) under Vulpes vulpes (red fox). RNAcentral describes it as "lncRNA (ENSVVUG00000014178.1)". The record is from RNAcentral. Lineage: Eukaryota; Metazoa; Chordata; Mammalia; Carnivora; Canidae.
GCAUUUACAUAAUUUUUUAAAGUAAAUAUUGUUGGUUUAAGAUGUUUAUAGUUAUAUGAUUUCUUUAUAAGCUGAAACAUCUGUGCCUGAGCCAUCACCAUACUGCAUUCAGAAGUAAUCAAAACUAGUUCCAGUGCAUUGAAGAAAGGAUUUCUGAAUCAAUGGAAAUUAAGAAUGGCUGCUAUGGUUUUGUCAUUUCUGAGAUUGUGCUGAGAUCAAUGAACCAUGCACUGUUCAAG